ACCGCCACGGUGACUUGCAAGCAACUCACUGCACUUAGGCACUGGACUACCUGAAUUUCUAAUUCAGUGACGGAAGGCUGCUGGGUGUAGUCAAGUAUUUGACUUGUCGGUGCGUGUGUCAAGAUGGGAUUGACCACUCCAGUUUAGGAGCUGUGUACAGUCAUAUUUCAAUUUAGCAAAAUCUUAGCCAGGGUAGUCUUUGUGAGGAGUCACAGGACUAUUUGAGUUGAGCACGAUUCGGAUGAUCUAAUCAGGGUUGACAGUUUAACCCUGAGUCGUCCUAAACACAGAGGUCAAAAGGAUGAAUUAUACAGUAACCAUAUUCACGUAGGUUCUGAGUGUUGCGAUUGCGACUAUUCGACCUAUCUGAUCAUCGGGUACCAUUGCUAGAUGGUCACUUCGAUUAGUAC
This 410-nucleotide long non-coding RNA is filed under the name Elaeis guineensis (African oil palm). RNAcentral describes it as "long non-coding RNA (EGUI_LNC054460)". The record is from RNAcentral. Lineage: Eukaryota; Viridiplantae; Streptophyta; Magnoliopsida; Arecales; Arecaceae.